RNAcentral lists this transfer RNA (75 nucleotides) under Fibrobacter sp. Its description in RNAcentral is "tRNA-Val". It matches the Rfam family "tRNA". Rfam says of the family: Transfer RNA (tRNA) molecules are approximately 80 nucleotides in length. Lineage: Bacteria; Pseudomonadati; Fibrobacterota; Fibrobacteria; Fibrobacterales; Fibrobacteraceae. RNAcentral also lists the same sequence under 5 other names. The record is from RNAcentral.
GGGCGAUUAGCUCAGUUGGUUCAGAGCAGCUGCCUUACAAGCAGCGGGUCAGCGGUUCGAAUCCGUUAUCGCCCA